Molecule: ribosomal RNA, 254 nt
Filed under: uncultured prokaryote
Description: partial 16S ribosomal RNA
Rfam family: Bacterial small subunit ribosomal RNA
Source: RNAcentral
UACGGAGGAUGCAAGCGUUAUCCGGAUUUAUUGGGUUUAAAGGGUGCGCAGGUUGUUUGAUAAGUCAGUGGUGAAAGUCUGUCGCUUAACGGUAGGAUUGCCAUUGAUACUGUUGGACUUGAAUAUGGAUGAGGUGGGCGGAAUGUGUAGUGUAGCGGUGAAAUGCAUAGAUAUUACACAGAACACCGAUUGCGAAGGCAGCUUACUAAUCCAUCAUUGACGCUGAGGCACGAAAGCGUGGGGAUCAAACAGGA